Molecule: long non-coding RNA, 1412 nt
Organism: Tupaia belangeri chinensis (Chinese tree shrew)
Lineage: Eukaryota; Metazoa; Chordata; Mammalia; Scandentia; Tupaiidae
Exons: 3
Source: RefSeq, a predicted model, not a curated record
CGGCGGCCAGCGCUGAGCCCUUGGGCGCCGGGGGUGAGCGCGGGGGUCGCGGCGACCGAAGCGGGUCCGCGGGCUCUCCUCCUCCCGGCGUCGCCCGCCACGCCUCCUUCCCUUGGCAGCUGCGCUUGCGGGAGACAGAAGUAAAGUGAAAAAUUACCCCUCAGGAUGGGAUGGCCACCUGCAAUCUUUUCAGCAUUCUCUCUGGACUUGGGGCACAUAGGCACACGUGCCUGGUGUGAGAGCUCUCCUUGUUCAUUUCAGCCUCAGACUCAAGACUCUGCCUUCCUGGGAGCACAACCUAUAACACAUGUUUUGGAUUUUCACUUAUUGCCACCUCUUCAGAAAGUCCUUCCUUGGUUAUCUUCACUAGGAUUGAAACCUUCAUCCGACAUACUCAGUAUUACUUUCCUGUUUUACUUUUCUCUUUACAAUGUGUUACCAUGUAGCAUUAUCUUUAUUUUAUUUAUUUUUCCUGUCUAUUGUCUUUCUCUCUCCACCAGCAUGUUCUGAAUCAUGAAGAUGGGGAUUCAUGUGUGAUAUGCUUACUGGUGAAUUUUUAGCAUCUGGAAUAGGUGUGGUAGAUAUUCCUGAAUACAGGACUGUUGAGUGAAUGUUGCAUAAAAAAGUGAGUGGGUCCCAGGGAACGUAGUUGAUCAGCAGGGUGCUGGAGGGGGAUGGAGAUAGAAGAAGCUGAUAAAAGGUGUAGGCAUGCUUGCUAAUAAGGGGGUACCUAGGGUUGCCCAUGAAGGAAUAACUUGAAAUGCAGGAGAUGAAAGAGGAAAUUGGGCCAGAUAGAUUUAGCAGAGUUUAGGAGAGGAGAAAGAAGAAGAAGAAGAGAUGGGGUCGGCAGGUGGAACAGUUGUAAAACAAUGCUCUGUGAUGCUGGACCCACAUGGGAACAACGCAGGUUUGCACCCCAGGCCUCCCCGUACACACAAUAAAUGUGUGUACACUCAUGAUCUGGCUGGCUGGGGCUGAAGAUAGAUUAGAUGUAAAGAUCCUGUUGGGGGUGUUUCCCCCCCCCCUCUAAUGGAAUAAGUCAAUAUACAUAAAAGGAGAGGAGGAGGAGGAGAUAGCUAUAGUGAGAUUCUGGACUUCAGGAACAUGGAAAUGAGGAUAAUUUUUAGACUCUGUACUGUAUGUUGUAUGAUGUAAUCUUUCAUAGCUGCCUUCCUUAUUAAAACCUUCAGCAAAACAUCUAUAGUGAUAGAGCACACCCUGGUAGUGGUUAGGCUUAAAGGCUUUAGAGUAGAUGGCUUAGGUUCCAAGCUCAGCACUGGCAUUUACCACGUGACCUUGGGUAAUUUCCACAUGCCUUGGUUUGCUCAUCUGUAAAAUGAAGAUAAUACUGGGACCAGCAGUUGGCGUAAUGGCUAUGUUGCUGGACUCCCAUGUAGCCGACCAUGGUUCAA